AUUGAACGCUGGCGGCAGGCCUAACACAUGCAAGUCGAACGGUAACAGGAAGAAGCUUGCUUCUUUGCUGACGAGUGGCGGACGGGUGAGUAAUGUCUGGGAAACUGCCUGAUGGAGGGGGAUAACUACUGGAAACGGUAGCUAAUACCGCAUAACGUCGCAAGACCAAAGAGGGGGACCUUCGGGCCUCUUGCCAUCGGAUGUGCCCAGAUGGGAUUAGCUAGUAGGUGGGGUAACGGCUCACCUAGGCGACGAUCCCUAGCUGGUCUGAGAGGAUGACCAGCCACACUGUAACUGAGACACGGUCCAGACUCCUACGGGAGGCAGCAGUGGGGAAUAUUGCACAAUGGGCGCAAGCCUGAUGCAGCCAUGCCGCGUGUAUGAAGAAGGCCUUCGGGUUGUAAAGUACUUUCAGCGGGGAGGAAGGGAGUAAAGUUAAUACCUUAGCUCAUUGACGUUACCCGCAGAAGAAGCACCGGCUAACUCCGUG
RNAcentral lists this ribosomal RNA (490 nucleotides) under uncultured bacterium. Its description in RNAcentral is "partial 16S ribosomal RNA". It matches the Rfam family "Bacterial small subunit ribosomal RNA", at positions 30 to 507 of the family's 1533-position model. The record is from RNAcentral.